RNAcentral lists this ribosomal RNA (122 nucleotides) under Geobacter sp. enrichment culture. RNAcentral's name for it is "partial 16S ribosomal RNA". It matches the Rfam family "Bacterial small subunit ribosomal RNA", at positions 373 to 486 of the family's 1533-position model. The record is from RNAcentral. Lineage: Bacteria; Pseudomonadati; Thermodesulfobacteriota; Desulfuromonadia; Geobacterales; Geobacteraceae.
GGGGGCAACGCUGACGCAGCAACGCCGCGUGAGUGAAGAAGGCCUUCGGGUCGUAAAGCUCUGUCAGAGGGGAAGAAGCGCAGUGUGGCCAAUAUCGGGACUGCUUGACGGUACCACCAAAG